GAAUCACCAAAAGCAGGGAAAAGUGGAAAAAGCUCAAAAGAAGGGCAAGACACAGUAGAAUCAGAGUGCUACUGUCUAAGCUGGAGCCACAGAGCUUGAAAUUACCACUGAAAAAUACUGAAAUUUUGGGCCCUUCACUCCUUCCUCAUAAGGAUACCAGAGGCAACAUGGCAUAUUAAGCAUGGCACUUGGCAGAUAACUGUGUAAACUAUUUUGCAGGAAUACAAAUUGAGGCACUUCAGUUCGUCUGAACUUUGAGUUGACCCUUCCUUUUUUGUUAUUGUUUUUCUCCCCCCUGAGUCUUCAGCUGGCUGCUUCUCUUCUAGUUCCACCCACUUACCAAAUAUGAUUGACUCACACAAGUGAAUUAAACCAUUAUUGCAUACUUUUUUCCUCUCCUGUCUCUCAGUAUUACUCUUAACUUGAAUAUUUUAACCUGAACAAUUUAAAUAGGUUUGCUAUUCCCAUGCUUCUUUUUAAGCCUUUUUAGUAUCAUGUCACCUCCCCCAUCAGCAUCUGUUCACAUUACCCUGAGAACUCACCUGUGGUAGGACGGUUACCAGGCUCGGGCUUCACAGCCUGGAGAAACGUGCAGAGCAGGUACCCAUCCAGGGCAGAGUAGCCAGGCGUGGGAAAUAAUCCCAACAGAGAAAACAUUCAAGAACUUUGCCUGUGUUGACUGAACACACUACUUCAAGUGUGUGAGAGGUCUUUAUGAUAAAAUCCUGGCUGGCUGUCAUCUAGCCCCACAGCAAACAAGGCAGCAAGUGGCAGAACACUUUUUGGUUAGAACAAGGAAACGUUUGAUGGCGUGGGAUUUUUAGUAAGGAAGAUGAAGUCCUGGAGUAAAUGAUAGAGUGGUAGAGUAGAAAAUAUUUUGAUCUGAGAAUUUGAAAAUAAAAAUGCUGAUUCUUGUUUUGCCAUAAAUGAUGUCACUUAAAUUGUUUGACCUUGUUUCCUCAUCUCUAAAAUGACUUGAUGAGAGUUUAAGAUUUGGCCAUUUUUAGCUUUACAGAACAGAUUAUGCACUACCCUUCUUGAUAGAAAUUUUCCCUGCAAGAUGUAUGGCAGGGUAUAUCUUUCAGUGUAACAAAGUACUGUUAUAACUGCUGCUGCGCAACUUUUGGCUUAUUCUAGAAAUUUCUACUCUUGAAUGACAUAUAUUAGUAUAUUUUUCUUUUGUUCUCUUUGAAAUAAAAUGUUUAAAUUUGUCUUGAUUAUCCACAUGUGUCCUGGAAAUAAAGGUCUCUGCCAAGUU
Long non-coding RNA from Galeopterus variegatus (Sunda flying lemur), 1258 nucleotides. RefSeq lists it as uncharacterized. The transcript is spliced from 2 exons. Lineage: Eukaryota; Metazoa; Chordata; Mammalia; Dermoptera; Cynocephalidae. The record is from RefSeq and is a predicted model, not a curated record.